UGGGGAAUAUUGCACAAUGGGCGCAAGCCUGAUGCAGCCAUGCCGCGUGUAUGAAGAAGGCCUUCGGGUUGUAAAGUACUUUCAGUCGGGAGGAAGGUGGUAAGGUUAAUAACCUUAUCAAUUGACGUUACCGACAGAAGAAGCACCGGCUAACUCCGUGCCAGCAGCCGCGGUAAUACGGAGGGUGCAAGCGUUAAUCGGAAUUACUGGGCGUAAAGCGAACGCAGGCGGUUGAUUGAGUCAGAUGUGAAAUCCCCGGGCUUAACCCGGGAAUUGCAUCUGCUACUGGUCAGCUAGAGUCUUGUAGAGGGGGGUAGCAGUCCAUGUGUAGCGAUGAAAUGCGUAGAGAUGUGGAGGAAUACCGGUGGCGAAGGCAGCCCCCUGGACAAAGACUGACGCACAGGUGCGAAAGCGUGGGGAGCAAACAGG
RNAcentral lists this ribosomal RNA (429 nucleotides) under Chloroflexota bacterium. RNAcentral's name for it is "Chloroflexi bacterium partial 16S ribosomal RNA". It matches the Rfam family "Bacterial small subunit ribosomal RNA", at positions 355 to 776 of the family's 1533-position model. Lineage: Bacteria; Bacillati; Chloroflexota. The record is from RNAcentral.